Molecule: ribosomal RNA, 396 nt
Filed under: Naegleria fowleri
Lineage: Eukaryota; Heterolobosea; Eutetramitea; Acrasida; Naegleriidae
Description: SSU rRNA
Rfam family: Eukaryotic small subunit ribosomal RNA
Source: RNAcentral
UUGUAGAAUGAGGAAGAUUUAGGCCAUAACAGGUCUGUGAUGCUCUUAGAUGUCCUGGGCUGCACGCGUACUACAAUAACGGUACCAGCGAGCGCUAUGGUUUUUUAACCCCUUAUCCUAAUAGGAUUGGGUAAACUUUUCAAACACCGUUAUGACAGGGAUCGAGGAUUGGAACAUCCUCGUGAACGAGGAAUUCCUAGUAAGCGUGGUUCAUCAUACCACAUUGAUUACGUCCCUGCCUUUUGUACACACCGCCCGUCGCUCCUACCGAUGGGACGAAGAGAUGAACCUGGCGGACCAAACCGUAAGGUGAGGGAAACCAGUUAAAUCUAUUCGUCUGUAGGAAGGAAAAGUCGUAACAAGGUCUUCGUAGGUGAACCUGCGUAGGGAUCAUUU